Molecule: transfer RNA, 70 nt
Filed under: Oceanospirillum linum
Lineage: Bacteria; Pseudomonadati; Pseudomonadota; Gammaproteobacteria; Oceanospirillales; Oceanospirillaceae
Also listed under: 8 other names
Rfam family: tRNA
About the family: Transfer RNA (tRNA) molecules are approximately 80 nucleotides in length. Their secondary structure includes four short double-helical elements and three loops (D, anti-codon, and T loops).
Source: RNAcentral
ACCGGUAGUUCAGUUGGUUAGAAUACCGGCCUGUCACGCCGGGGGUCGCGGGUUCGAGUCCCGUCCGGUC